This 150-nucleotide unclassified non-coding RNA is filed under the name Areotheca areolata. Its description in RNAcentral is "partial internal transcribed spacer 2". Lineage: Eukaryota; Fungi; Ascomycota; Sordariomycetes; Sordariales; Naviculisporaceae. The record is from RNAcentral.
CAACCAUCAAGCCCUUGCUUGUGUUGGGGUCCUGCGGCUGCCCGCAGGCCCUGAAAACCAGUGGCGGGCUCGCUAGUCACACCGAGCGCAGUAAUACAUCUCGCUUUGGUCGUGCGGCGGGUUCUUGCCGUUAAACACCCCCCUUUUAAA